AAGUCGUAACAAGGUUUCCGUAGGUGAACCUGCGGAAGGAUCAUUACCGAGUUCUGGCCCGUCUGGGCCGUCUCUCCACACCGUGCGUAUGCAUAUCAUUACGUUACACACAAAGGCUCAUGUGUCUAAACAACCGAAACCAAACAUGAAGCAAAAACUUUCAACAACGGAUCUCUUGGUUCUG
Molecule: unclassified non-coding RNA, 184 nt
Filed under: fungal sp.
Lineage: Eukaryota; Fungi
Description: partial internal transcribed spacer region
Rfam family: Eukaryotic small subunit ribosomal RNA (bases 1-46)
Source: RNAcentral